RNAcentral lists this unclassified non-coding RNA (269 nucleotides) under Hevea brasiliensis (rubber tree). Lineage: Eukaryota; Viridiplantae; Streptophyta; Magnoliopsida; Malpighiales; Euphorbiaceae. The record is from RNAcentral.
UAAAAUUCUCUUCCCAUACUGCAUUACACAUGGCCCAAAUAACAUGGAACGAGCAAACCUUAUAACAUGAUGGAUUAAAAUGCUACGAUGGAUUAAAAUGCUGAUAACGGCUUCCCAUUUCAUCACUCUUUGGAUCCUUUCAGAAGAACCCCCACCGACUCUUUAGCUUAGAGUUAAUUUAGUUGAAUUGAGUAUAAAGUGGACUUUUCAGCAUUUAAUUGUGUUCUCUAUUUCGUUUUGAAAAUUUACAAAUUAAAACAAAGGCAUUA